UAAUCGAUCGUCUCGACAGGUGUCCCGGAACCGUUCUUGGUUCCACAAGGGAAGAAUAGGGAAGACGGUGAGAAUCCGUCGCGGGGCCGCCGCUGUAAUCGGUCAGAUCCUCGGACAACUCAGCCACUGCCGCAAGGCGGGAAGGCGGUCCGAAGGUCGUCACGAGCCGUAAGCCAGAAGACCUGCCCGUCGAGCUUGACUCUU
Regulatory RNA element from Paludisphaera borealis, 204 nucleotides. The record is from Rfam. Lineage: Bacteria; Pseudomonadati; Planctomycetota; Planctomycetia; Isosphaerales; Isosphaeraceae.